GGGGGCCGGAGCCACUCGGUGUCCACCCCUUCGGGAGGGGGUGGAGCCGUGUCGUAUUACCACUCUCCUCUGUCAGCAUGGCCACUGCAGGCGGUGGCCAGCCACGAGCAAUGAGCUGUUUAACCAACAUUGGUGCUGUUCAGACUCAGCUACACCACCGAGCACGGAGGACCUGCUGUGACUGCUGCCUCCUGCUGCCUCUUCUUCCAUCCAUUGAGACUGCAAGACCACGAGCACACAUCUGUGCUGGACCCCCACACAGCUGCCAUCACCACAUUCCCUGCUCUAACUCACUGUUCAGCUAAUGAUACAGGACUACCACAGAACCGGAGUCCAGAGAUCAUCAAGUAAGAAACAGUAACAGCUAAAAGGUAUUGACACCCCCAGACCCAAAAGCAUCUGGGCGCUAUAAAAAGACUUUAAUGUAAACAUCUAUUACUGUGAGAUGCUUUUAACAAUUGAUCACCUGUCUCCUGGAUGCCAAACUAAUAAAGGAAACAGGUGCUUUAAAAUAAUCUGUGUCUGAUAAAGCUUAACAAUGUUUCAAAAUCCAUAAGGACAGGCUGGAUCUACAUCAGAUAAAUGUCAACAUAAAAUAAUAAUGAUCCUUUUAUCUCUCUAAGUUUUUUUUCUGUGUCACCAGCAUCUUGUCAAACAGACAGUUCCCAGCCACAGCCAAGAGGGAUACAUGUCUCCAGAGCAAACAGAUGGCAGACAGCAUCCCACAAGCCUGUCUACCUAGGAAAACUCCCCUUCUCCAUUCCCCCGAGAGCCAACCGACGACCAAAAGUAAGCUGGAAGCAGUUUUUUUAGAGGAACGACGCCCCUAGUCCCAUCUACCUGCUUUUUUUUUUAUAAUAAGUGAAAGACUGGGAUGUAAGGAUUCAGUCCUUAACUACGUCAACAGCCUGCUACAGCGUCCCAGCCUAAAAAGCAGGUGGGCCCUCUGUGCAUCCCUCUCUUUCCUUCCUGCCCCUUCCUUCUUCUCUCCCCUUCUUCUUUUUCCUCUCUCU
Peromyscus maniculatus bairdii (prairie deer mouse) is the source of this 1013-nucleotide non-coding RNA. The record is from RefSeq and is a predicted model, not a curated record. NCBI's taxonomy places the organism in Eukaryota, Metazoa, Chordata, Mammalia, Rodentia, Cricetidae.